Molecule: ribosomal RNA, 253 nt
Filed under: uncultured bacterium
Lineage: Bacteria
Description: partial 16S ribosomal RNA
Rfam family: Bacterial small subunit ribosomal RNA
Source: RNAcentral
UACAGAGGAUGCAAGCGUUAUCCGGAAUGAUUGGGCGUAAAGCGUCUGUAGGUGGCUUUUUAAGUCCGCCGUCAAAUCCCAGGGCUCAACUCUGGACAGGCGGUGGAAACUACCAAGCUGGAGUACGGUAGGGGCAGAGGGAAUUUCCGGUGGAGCGGUGGAAUGCGUAGAGAUCCGGAAGAACACCGGUGGCGAAGGCGGUCUGCUGGGCCAAGACUGACGCUGAGGCGCGACAGCGUGGGGAGCAAACAGG